Molecule: ribosomal RNA, 459 nt
Filed under: uncultured bacterium
Lineage: Bacteria
Description: partial 16S ribosomal RNA
Rfam family: Bacterial small subunit ribosomal RNA
Source: RNAcentral
CCUACGGGAGGCAGCAGUGAGGAAUAUUGGUCAAUGGCCGGGAGGCUGAACCAGCCAAGUCGCGUGAGGGAAGACGGCCCUACGGGUUGUAAACCUCUUUUGUCAGGGAGCAAGGUGCAGGUCGGGACCUGCUGUGAGAGUACCUGAAGAAAAAGCAUCGGCUAACUCCGUACCAGCAGCCGCGGUAAUACGGAGGAUGCGAGCGUUAUCCGGAUUUAUUGGGUUUAAAGGGUGCGCAGGCGGAGGCACAAGUCAGCGGUAAAAUCGCGGGGCUCAACCCCGCUCCGCCGUUGAAACUGUGGCCCUUGAGUGCGCGAAGGGUAGGCGGAAUGCGUGGUGUAGCGGUGAAAUGCAUAGAUAUCACGCAGAACUCCGAUCGCGAAGGCAGCCUACCGGCGCGCAACUGACGCUCAUGCACGAAAGCGUGGGUAUCGAACAGGAUUAGAUACCCUAGUAGUC